Long non-coding RNA from Daphnia magna, 200 nucleotides. RefSeq lists it as uncharacterized. Lineage: Eukaryota; Metazoa; Arthropoda; Branchiopoda; Diplostraca; Daphniidae. The record is from RefSeq and is a predicted model, not a curated record. The transcript is spliced from 2 exons.
AGAUGGCGAGAUGGCGUUGACGUGCGUCUAUGAUAAAUAUUACGAGUGACAAGUUAAAUUGGUGUUUGUUACGUCUCUACCUUGUUCAGUGUUUCAAAGGGUUUUUCAUCAAAUAUUAAUGGGUUUCGCCUUGUCAGCUGCUGAACCUUAGCCUGCAUUCCUGCUAUCAUCAAUGUUGUCAAUAUUUUAAGCCCGACUAA